This 253-nucleotide ribosomal RNA is filed under the name uncultured bacterium. RNAcentral's name for it is "partial 16S ribosomal RNA". It matches the Rfam family "Bacterial small subunit ribosomal RNA", at positions 524 to 776 of the family's 1533-position model. The record is from RNAcentral.
UACGUAGGGUGCAAGCGUUGUUCGGAAUCAUUGGGCGUAAAGCGCGUGUAGGCGGCUAAUUAAGUCGGGUGUGAAAUCCCUAGGCUCAACCAAGGAAGUGCAUUCGAAACUGAUUAGCUUGAAGAUGUUAGAGGAGGGUGGAAUUCCUAGUGUAGAGGUGAAAUUCGUAGAUAUUAGGAGGAAUACCGGUGGCGAAGGCGGCCCUCUGGGACAUUCUUGACGCUGAGACGCGAAAGCGUGGGUAGCAAACAGG